GAUGAACGCUGGCGGCGUGCCUAAUACAUGCAAGUCGAGCGAACAGAUAAGGAGCUUGCUCCUUUGACGUUAGCGGCGGACGGGUGAGUAACACGUGGGUAACCUACCUAUAAGACUGGGAUAACUUCGGGAAACCGGAGCUAAUACCGGAUAAUAUUUCGAACCGCAUGGUUCGAUAGUGAAAGAUGGUUUUGCUAUCACUUAUAGAUGGACCCGCGCCGUAUUAGCUAGUUGGUAAGGUAACGGCUUACCAAGGCGACGAUACGUAGCCGACCUGAGAGGGUGAUCGGCCACACUGGAACUGAGACACGGUCCAGACUCCUACGGGAGGCAGCAGUAGGGAAUCUUCCGCAAUGGGCGAAAGCCUGACGGAGCAACGCCGCGUGUGUGAUGAAGGUCUUCGGAUCGUAAAACUCUGUUAUUAGGGAAGAACAUACGUGUAAGUAACUGUGCACGUCUUGACGGUACCUAAUCAGAAAGCCACGGCUAACUACGUG
This 497-nucleotide ribosomal RNA is filed under the name uncultured bacterium. Its description in RNAcentral is "partial 16S ribosomal RNA". It matches the Rfam family "Bacterial small subunit ribosomal RNA", at positions 28 to 507 of the family's 1533-position model. The record is from RNAcentral.